Molecule: long non-coding RNA, 1078 nt
Filed under: Sinocyclocheilus grahami
Lineage: Eukaryota; Metazoa; Chordata; Actinopteri; Cypriniformes; Cyprinidae
Description: lncRNA (ENSSGRG00000048735.1)
Source: RNAcentral
CGCGCCGCAGCCGAAGGAGAGCAGAGAGCGACUCAAGGAGAACGUCUCAUUCGCGCAUCUUUAUUCGAACGCAUGCAUUUCAUAGAGAGUGGGAACAUAAUUGUAAAAGCUGUGUGAUGUGUGUGAAUAUCUGCUGCAGAUGAUGUGUCACGCGUGAAAAUGCUACGCUUUAUUCUGGACUGCCUGCGGCCGGCACGAGCGCGCGCUGCAGCCGCGACACGGUACACUGAUGCGCGCGGCGUUAUCUUUACGCAUCUAAGUAGCUGCAUGCCGUCUUAGUCUUUGAAAUGCAUUUUAACCGACAUCCUUCAAAAAUCAUACAACCUUUCACGUCGAGGUUAUUCAUGCACUGAAGUAAUGCCAUAAUAUGUGCAUGCACUGUAGAAGUGUGAUUCAUCAUCCUGACAUCAUCUGACACAUGGGUUGCAUAAUUUGACUGUACACAUCUUACACCGUACACACAGUAAUCUCCUGUUUGCAUGCGCGUAAUUGAGAGAAUCGUGCUGAAAUCUUGCAGAAGUAUUGGCAUUUCGGUUUGCUGCAUUAUGCAUAGCCUAUAUUGAUGUAUAGCCUACGUGAUAUAUUUUCUUUACAUGUUAUACUGUUCCAGGGACACGGAGCUUGAGGCUCAGGUCAACACUUCAGACGAUAAUGAAAUCAAGGGUCUGCAGGAUGAGGUACACACGGAACAGGAGACUCUACAGAUGGUCAAGGCUUUGCGCCGUAACACACAGCAGACCGAGAAGAUGCUGGAAGAGAGGAAGACGCAGCUGAAGGAAGAACUGCAGAUGAUCUAUGACCUCCAGAAACAGGAGAGGGAAGUGCUGCAGUCGCUGCAGGAGGAGCAGCAGGAGCUGGAGCAGACAGUCCAGCAGUAUGAUGUGGAGCUGUGUGCCGCGGCUGAAGAUCUCCUGCAGCUCCAGCGGGAAGUGGCUUACGCCAAAGCACACGCAGAAAGCCUGCAUCUACGCGUCACUCCGCUGCAGGACUUAUUCGAGGAGAUUAUACAGGUCACAGUUCGGUCACCCUUGUCUGUCUCUCUACCGGUUCACCCAAAAUGUUUUGUAAUAUUUCUGAU